RNAcentral lists this ribosomal RNA (781 nucleotides) under uncultured Neocallimastigales. RNAcentral's name for it is "partial large subunit ribosomal RNA". It matches the Rfam family "Eukaryotic large subunit ribosomal RNA", at positions 23 to 643 of the family's 3401-position model. Lineage: Eukaryota; Fungi; Neocallimastigomycota; Neocallimastigomycetes; Neocallimastigales. The record is from RNAcentral.
AGAGAGAGACAUGCGCGCAUAUCAAUAAGCGGAGGAAAAGAAACUAACUAGGAUUCCCUCAGUAACGGCGAGUGAAGCGGGAAGAGCUCAAAUUUGAAAUCUUCAAGGUUCUACCUUGACGAAUUGUAGUUUAAAGAAGUGGUUUCUGUUGGAGUUUUGGUAAAAGUUCUUUGGAAUAGGACAUCAUAGAGGGUGAGAAUCCCGUAUUUGACCAUUAUUUCCAGCUUUGUGAUACACUUUCAAAGAGUCGGAUUGUUUGGGAAUGCAGUCCAAAAUGGGUGGUAAAUUUCAUCUAAAGCUAAAUAUUGGCGAGAGACCGAUAGCGAACAAGUACCGUGAGGGAAAGAUGAAAAGAACUUUGAAAAGAGAGUUAAACAGUACGUGAAAUUGUCAAAAGGGAAGCGUUUGACACCAGUGUUGUUUUCUCGAAAAUCAAUUAAAAAGAGUCAGGAUUUUGUGUUGUAUUGACCUUUAAUCAGCUUCUGCACUUCAAUUUUCUUGUCUUUUUUUAAUGCACUUUUCGUUUAACAAGUCAACAUCAGUUUCUUUUGUUGUAAAAGGGUCAUUGGAAGGUGGCUUUCUUUUCGGAGAAAGUGUUUAUAGCCUUUGGCCUCUGCAAUCGGAGAGAUUGAGGUCUGCAGCGUAGAUCCUUCGGGGUUAGAUACAUUUGUGCUAAGUUAUAGCCUUUCAUAGACAACUUGUUGACUAUGAUUAGUCAUUGUAGCUUACUCGCUUAUGCUAUUUUACCUACGCUUAGGAUGUUGAUGUGAUACUGCGAGCA